Molecule: long non-coding RNA, 760 nt
Filed under: Chloebia gouldiae (Gouldian finch)
Lineage: Eukaryota; Metazoa; Chordata; Aves; Passeriformes; Passeridae
Description: Erythrura gouldiae (Gouldian finch) lncRNA (ENSEGOG00005010963.1)
Source: RNAcentral
GCCCAGGUGUGUGUGCCAUGCCCAGGUGUGUGCCAUGCCCAGGUGUGUAUGCCAUACCCAGGUGUGUGUGCCAUGCCCAGGUGUGUGUGCCGUGCCCAGGUGUGGGCCAUGCCCAGGUGUGGACCAUGCCCAGGUGUGUGUGCCAUGCCCAGGUGUGGGCCAUGCCCAGGUGUGGGCCAUGCCCAGGUGUGUGUGCCAUGCCCAGGUGUGUGUGCCGUGCCCAGGUGUGUGUGCCGUGCCCAGGUGUGUGUGCCAUGCCCAGGUGUGUGCCGUGCCCAGGUGUGUGUGCCGUGCCCCGUGCCCAGCCGCUCUCCCGGGCCCUGUCCCCGCUGUCCCUCUGUGCGCGGGGCUCCGGCACCUCCCUGUGGCAGAGCCGGGAACGGCCCCGAGCCGGCGACACCGCGGGGACACCGCGGGGACAACGCGGGGAUGGGGACAGCGAGGGGAUUGUCACUGUGGCAGGGACAGCACGGGGACAGGGACAGUGAGGGACUGUCACCAUGCUGGGGACACCGCAGGGAUGGGGACAGACCUGGGAACACCGUGGGGAUUGUCACUGUGCUGGGGACACUGCAAGGACAGUGACAGCGUGGGGACACUGCUGUGGGGACAUCCCUUAUCCCAGGGGACAUCCCGCCAGCCCCUCCCUGCUCCCCUGCCCUGUCAGGGCUUUGCUUGUUCCCAAAUUCCUGCGCUGGCCUGGGGUCCCUGUGAGGGACUGGGGGUCCCUGGUGAUGGAAAGGGGGUCCCAGGGAGGGAC